UGAAUUGCAGAAUCCCGUGAACCAUCGAGUCUUUGAACGCAAGUUGCGCCCGAACCCUUCGGGUUGAGGGCACGUCUGCCUGGGCGUCACGUACGCAUGUCUCUCACAACCCUUCGCCCCUUGCGGACGUAGGGCUUCGUGCGAGCAGAGAUUGGUAUCCCGUGCUC
This 167-nucleotide ribosomal RNA is filed under the name Saxifraga densifoliata. Its description in RNAcentral is "5.8S ribosomal RNA". The stretch from base 1 to 89 matches the Rfam family "5.8S ribosomal RNA", at positions 68 to 154 of the family's 154-position model. From Rfam's summary of the family: 5.8S ribosomal RNA (5.8S rRNA) is a component of the large subunit of the eukaryotic ribosome. It is transcribed by RNA polymerase I as part of the 45S precursor that also contains 18S and 28S rRNA. Lineage: Eukaryota; Viridiplantae; Streptophyta; Magnoliopsida; Saxifragales; Saxifragaceae. The record is from RNAcentral.